This 492-nucleotide ribosomal RNA is filed under the name uncultured bacterium. RNAcentral's name for it is "partial 16S ribosomal RNA". It matches the Rfam family "Bacterial small subunit ribosomal RNA", at positions 29 to 507 of the family's 1533-position model. The record is from RNAcentral.
AGUGAACGCUGGCGGUAGGCCUAACACAUGCAAGUCGAACGGCAGCACAGUAAGAGCUUGCUCUUACGGGUGGCGAGUGGCGGACGGGUGAGGAAUACAUCGGAAUCUACUUUUUCGUGGGGGAUAACGUAGGGAAACUUACGCUAAUACCGCUUACGACCUACGGGUGAAAGCAGGGGAUCUUCGGACCUUGCGCGAUUGAAUGAGCCGAUGUCGGAUUAGCUAGUUGGCGGGGUAAAGGCCCACCAAGGCGACGAUCCGUAGCUGGUCUGAGAGGAUGAUCAGCCACACUGGAACUGAGACACGGUCCAGACUCCUACGGGAGGCAGCAGUGGGGAAUAUUGGACAAUGGGCGCAAGCCCGAUCCAGCCAUACCGCGUGGGUGAAGAAGGCCUUCGGGUUGUAAAGCCCUUUUGUUGGGAAAGAAAAGCAGCAGGUUAAUACCCCGCUGUUCUGACGGUACCCAAAGAAUAAGCACCGGCUAACUUCGUG